UGGGGAAUAUUGCACAAUGGGGGAAACCCUGAUGCAGCGACGCCGCGUGAGUGAAGAAGUAUUUCGGUAUGUAAAGCUCUGUCAGCAGGGAAGAAAAUGACGGUACCUGACCAAGAAGCCCCGGCUAACUACGUGCCAGCAGCCGCGGUAAUACGUAGGGGGCAAGCGUUAUCCGGAUUUACUGGGUGUAAAGGGAGCGUAGACGGCUGUGCAAGUCAGAAGUGAAAGCCCGGGGCUCAACUCCGGGACUGCUUUUGAAACUGCAGAGCUGGAGUGCAGGAGAGGCAAGCGGAAUUCCUGGUGUAGCGGUGAAAUGCGUAGAUAUCAGGAGGAACACCAGUGGCGAAGGCGGCUUACUGGACUGUAACUGACGUUGAGGCUCGAAAGCGUGGGGAGCAAACAGG
This 404-nucleotide ribosomal RNA is filed under the name uncultured bacterium. RNAcentral describes it as "bacterial SSU rRNA". It matches the Rfam family "Bacterial small subunit ribosomal RNA", at positions 355 to 776 of the family's 1533-position model. The record is from RNAcentral.